GGGAAGUGCAAAGAACUUUGAAUGAGAGAGUUNCAGCUACGUGAAASUGCUCAGAGGCAAACGRGUGGGCCCUCGAAAUCCCGCUGCGGGGGGAUUCAGUCGGAAGGCGAUACAAUCGUGAGAGCCACCGACAACCAGCAAGUGUUGMCGUUCMGAGCUCGAUCGGUUUGCCACCCGACGCACUUCAUCCSGCACAGAGGACGCCGCAGCCGGUCGGGUAGCAGCAAGAGUCGGCCAUGAGGUUCGAAACCGGAAGGUGGCGGGGCUCGAACCGCGCUAGGUACCUCCUAAGCGCGGCGGCGUACCCCGUUGUUAGCCGUUCGAUCCGUGGCGCGACACCCGACCGAGGAGAAGGAGCUCCCAGCGAGCUCCAGCCGCGCACUCGCAGCAAGUUCGAGCGGUGCAGUUCGGAGCAGCAGAGGACGACACGGGCGGAACCACCCUCGCCUGGUGGCUCGCCUCGUAGUUGCUGCUUUAGCUCCGAGACACCGCCGCGAGCGCAGACGGCUGGCGGCGAGUAGGUCGGUCACCCACCCGACCCGUCUUGAAACACGGACCAAGGAGUCUAACAUGUGCGCGAGUCACGGGGUCUUGAACAGGCCCAGGGGCGCAAUGAAAGUGAAGGCUGGCUUUGCGGUCACGCCCAGUUGGGAUCCCCGGCACGAGUUGUCGGGGCGCACCAACGGYCCGUCCCGUCCGUUUCAACGGUGGAGCGGAGUCAGAGCGUACACGUUGGGACCCGAAAGAUGGUGACCUAUGCCUGGGCAGGACGAAGCCAGAGGAAACUCUGGUGGARGU
RNAcentral lists this ribosomal RNA (798 nucleotides) under Pholcinae gen. n. sp. Ind206. RNAcentral describes it as "partial 28S ribosomal RNA". The record is from RNAcentral. Lineage: Eukaryota; Metazoa; Arthropoda; Arachnida; Araneae; Pholcidae.